GGACUACUGGGGUAUCUAAUCCUGUUUGCUACCCACGCUUUCGUGCCUCAGUGUCAGUCGUGGUCCAGUAAGCCGUCUACACCACCGGUGUUCCUCCUGAUAUCUACGCAUUUCACCGCUACACCAGGAAUUCCGCUUACCUCUCCCACACUCAAGCACCCCAGUUUCCACCGCACCCUCCCAGUUAAGCCGGGAGAUUUCACAACAGACUUAGGGCACCACCUACGCACUCUUUACGCCCAGUAACUCCGAACAACGCUUGCUGCCUACGUAUUACCGCGGCUGCUGGCAC
This 292-nucleotide ribosomal RNA is filed under the name uncultured Acidobacteriota bacterium. Its description in RNAcentral is "uncultured Acidobacteria bacterium partial 16S ribosomal RNA". Lineage: Bacteria; Pseudomonadati; Acidobacteriota. The record is from RNAcentral.